This 422-nucleotide ribosomal RNA is filed under the name Tardigrada sp. A019 MOTU007. RNAcentral's name for it is "SSU rRNA". It matches the Rfam family "Eukaryotic small subunit ribosomal RNA", at positions 47 to 468 of the family's 1831-position model. Lineage: Eukaryota; Metazoa; Tardigrada. The record is from RNAcentral.
AGCCAUGCAUGUCUCAGUACUUGCUUUAACAAGGCGAAACCGCGAAUGGCUCAUUAAAUCAGUUAUGGUUCACUAGAUCGUAUAUCUUACAUGGAUAACUGUGGUAAUUCUAGAGCUAAUACAUGCAUUCAUUCCGUGCCCUCGUGGUGCGGAAGCAGUUAUUUUCUCAAAACCAAUCGGCCCUUCGGGUUCGUUAAUUGGUGACUCUGAAUAACCGAAGCGAAGCGAAUGGUCUCGUACCGUCGCUAGAUCUUUCAAGUGUCUGACUUAUCAGCUUGUUGUUAGGUUAUGUUCCUAACAAGGCAGUUACGGGUAACGGGGUGUCAGGGCCCGACACCGGAGAGGGAGCCUGAGAAACGGCUACCACAUCCAAGGAAGGCAGCAGGCGCGCAAAUUACCCACUCCCGGCACGGGGAGGUAGU